CCCAUGUCUUUUGCGCACUUGUUGUUUCCUGGGCGGGUUCGCCCGCCACCAGGACCAAACCAUAAACCUUUUUUUCUUAUGCAGUUUCCAUCAGCGUCAGUAAAAACAAUGUAAUUAUUACAACUUUCAACAACGGAUCUCUUGGUUCUGGCAUCGAUGAAGAACGCAGCGAAAUGCGAUACGUAGUGUGAAUUGCAGAAUUCAGUGAAUCAUCGAAUCUUUGAACGCACAUUGCGCCCUUUGGUAUUCCAAAGGGCAUGCCUGUUCGAGCGUCAUUUGUACCUUCAAGCUUUGCUUGGUGUUGGGCGUUUUUUUGUCUCCCUCUUUCUGGGAGACUCGCCUUAAAACGAUUGGCAGCCGGCCUACUGGUUUCGGAGCGCAGCACAUUUUUUGCGCUUUGUAUCAGGAGAAAAGGACGGUACUCCAUCAAGACUCUACAUUUUUCACUUUUGACCUCGGAUCAGGUAGGGAUACCCGCUGAACUUAAGCAU
This 491-nucleotide ribosomal RNA is filed under the name Bipolaris oryzae. RNAcentral's name for it is "eukaryotic LSU rRNA". The stretch from base 122 to 275 matches the Rfam family "5.8S ribosomal RNA". The record is from RNAcentral. Lineage: Eukaryota; Fungi; Ascomycota; Dothideomycetes; Pleosporales; Pleosporaceae.